GGUUAUACGAGAGGCCCAAGUUGAUAGUCAUCGGCGUAAAGCGUGGUUUAAGUAAGAAAUCCAAAUAAAGACCGAAGGCCCUCAAAGCAGUUAUACGCAUUNGAGAGGCAGAAGUACAAUAACGAAAGUGGCUUUAAACAACUUGACCCCACGAGAGCUAUGGCACAAANUGGGAUUAGAUACCCCACUAUGCUUAGCCCCAAACAUUGAUAGCACACCACAUAUGCUAUCCGCCCGGGAAGUAAGUGCACGAGCUUGAAACCCAAAGGACUUGGCGGUGCUUUAGAUCCCCCUAGAGGAGCCUGUUUUAGAACCGAUAAUCCCCGUUCAACCUCACCUUUCCUUGUUCCCCCCGCCUAUAUACCGCCGUCGCAAGCUUACCCCGUGAUGGACUAAUAGUAAGCAUAAUUGGUAGAACCCAAAACGUCAGGUCGAGGUGUAGCGCAUGGGAAGGGAAGAAAUGGGGUACAUUCCCUAGCCAGGGAAUACGAAUGAUGCCCUGAAAAAAUGCAUCUGAAGGAGGAUUUAGUAGUAAGAGGGAAAUAGAGCGUCCCAAUGAAACUGGCCCUGAAGCGCGCACAUACCGCCCGUCACUCUCCCC
Molecule: ribosomal RNA, 601 nt
Filed under: Prionotus carolinus (northern searobin)
Lineage: Eukaryota; Metazoa; Chordata; Actinopteri; Perciformes; Triglidae
Description: partial 12S small subunit ribosomal RNA
Rfam family: Bacterial small subunit ribosomal RNA
Source: RNAcentral